Molecule: ribosomal RNA, 460 nt
Filed under: uncultured bacterium
Lineage: Bacteria
Description: partial 16S ribosomal RNA
Rfam family: Bacterial small subunit ribosomal RNA
Source: RNAcentral
CCUACGGGGUGCAGCAGUGAGGAAUAUUGGUCAAUGGGCGGGAGCCUGAACCAGCCAAGUCGCGUGAGGGAAGACGGUCCUAUGGAUUGUAAACCUCUUUAGGCGGGGAGCAAUGCCGGGCACGCGUGCCCGGAGGGAGCGUACCCGCAGAAUAAGCAUCGGCUAACUCCGUGCCAGCAGCCGCGGUAAUACGGAGGAUGCGAGCGUUAUCCGGAUUUUUUGGGUUUAAAGGGUGCGUAGGCGGAUUUUUAAGUCAGCGUUAAAAUGUCCGGGCUCAACCCGGGCCGGCCGUUGAAACUGGGGAUCUUGAGUGGGCGAGAGGUAUGCGGAAUGCGUGGUGUAGCGGUGAAAUGCAUAGAUAUCACGCAGAACUCCGAUUGCGAAGGCAGCAUACCGGCGCCCGACUGACGCUGAGGCACGAAAGCGUGGGGAUCGAACAGGAUUAGAUACCCCAGUAGUC